This 522-nucleotide ribosomal RNA is filed under the name uncultured bacterium. Its description in RNAcentral is "bacterial SSU rRNA". It matches the Rfam family "Bacterial small subunit ribosomal RNA", at positions 8 to 518 of the family's 1533-position model. The record is from RNAcentral.
AGAGUUUGAUUCUGGCUCAGGAUGAACGCUAGCUACAGGCUUAACACAUGCAAGUCGAGGGGCAGCAUGGAAGUUGCUUGCAACUUCUGAUGGCGACCGGCGCACGGGUGAGUAACGCGUAUCCAACCUUCCCCUUAGUAGGGCAUAGCCCGUAGAAAUGCGGAUUAAUACCCUAUGUUCUUCGAGGCGGUCAUCCAAUUUGAAGCAAAGAUUCAUCGCUAAGGGAUGGGGAUGCGUCCGAUUAGGUUGUUGGCGGGGUAACGGCCCACCAGCCAUCGAUCCGGUAGGGUUCUGAGAGGAAGGUCCCCCACAUUGGAACUGAGACACGGUCCAAACUCCUACGGGAGGCAGCAGUGAGGAAUAUUGGUCAAUGGGCGAGAGCCUGAACCAGCCAAGUAGCGUGCAGGAUGACGGCCCUAUUGGGUUGUAAACUGCUUUUAUCAGGGGAUAAAGUGGCCCACGUGUUGGGUUUUUGUAGGUACCUGAUGAAUAAGGACCGGCUAAUUCCGUGCCAGCAGCCGC